AUGGCUUACAACCAACAAUUCAAGAUACUCGAGGUACCUCCGAUCGUGCAAGAACUGGUGGCCGGCGGCUUGCAGGAGCCACCCGGCCAGUACGUAGUUCCUGAGCAAGACCGUCCCGCUGCGACUGUCUCCGAGAUGCCCGAGCCCAUCCCGAUCGUCGAUCUCAGCCGUAUGUCUUCCAACAGCGCAGAAGAGUUCACCAAGCUGCAAUCCGCCUUGGAGAACUGGGACCUCUUCCUGAUAUUGAGCAAUGGAUUCUUCAAAAGUCCCGUGCACAGGGUUGUGACAAAUGUGGAGAAAGAGCGCUUAUCGUUGGUGAUGUUCUAUACAUUGGACCCAGAGACUGAGAUUGAGCCGGUGUCAGAGUUGGUCGACGAGAAGAGACCGACACAGUACAUGAAAAUGAAGAACAAGGACUACAUAGCAAAAUUUUAUAAAACUUAUGCAACAGGGAAACUAGCCAUCGACAACAUGAAAAUCUGA
RNAcentral lists this ribosomal RNA (483 nucleotides) under Triticum aestivum (bread wheat). Its description in RNAcentral is "partial small subunit ribosomal RNA". Lineage: Eukaryota; Viridiplantae; Streptophyta; Magnoliopsida; Poales; Poaceae. The record is from RNAcentral.